RNAcentral lists this ribosomal RNA (320 nucleotides) under uncultured Bacteroidales bacterium. RNAcentral describes it as "bacterial SSU rRNA". It matches the Rfam family "Bacterial small subunit ribosomal RNA", at positions 28 to 339 of the family's 1533-position model. Lineage: Bacteria; Pseudomonadati; Bacteroidota; Bacteroidia; Bacteroidales. The record is from RNAcentral.
GAUGAACGCUAGCUACAGGCUUAACACAUGCAAGUCGAGGGGCAGCACGGCGGAUGCUUGCAUCCGCUGGUGGCGACCGGCGCACGGGUGCGUAACACGUAUCCAAUCUACCCAUGGCUCAGGGAUAGCCUUUCGAAAGAAAGAUUAAUACCUGAUGGUCUUACAUGGAGACAUCUCCUAGUAAGUAAAGAUUUAUCGGCGAUGGAUGAGGAUGCGUCUGAUUAGGUAGAUGGCGGGGUAACGGCCCACCAUGCCGACGAUCAGUAGGGGUUCUGAGAGGAAGGUCCCCCACAUUGGAACUGAGACACGGUCCAAACUCC